UAAGGAAUAUUGGUCAAUGGACGCAAGUCUGAACCAGCCAUGCCGCGUGGAGGAUUAAGGCCCUCUGGGUUGUAAACUCCUUUUAUCUGGGAAGAAAUGUACUUUUUCUUGAGUACUUGACGGUACCAGAGGAAUAAGCACCGGCUAACUCCGUGCCAGCAGCCGCGGUAAUACGGAGGGUGCAAGCGUUAUCCGGAUUCACUGGGUUUAAAGGGUGCGUAGGUGGGCAGGUAAGUCAGUGGUGAAAUCUCCGGGCUUAACCCGGAAACUGCCGUUGUUACUAUUGGUCUUGAAUAUUGUGGAGGUAAUCGGAAUAUGUCAUGUAGCGGUGAAAUGCUUAGAUAUGACAUAGAACACCAAUUGCGAAGGCAGCUUACUACACAAUCAUUGACGCUGAGGCACGAAAGCGUGGGGAUCAAACA
This 422-nucleotide ribosomal RNA is filed under the name uncultured bacterium. RNAcentral describes it as "bacterial SSU rRNA". It matches the Rfam family "Bacterial small subunit ribosomal RNA", at positions 355 to 774 of the family's 1533-position model. The record is from RNAcentral.